This 207-nucleotide ribosomal RNA is filed under the name uncultured bacterium. RNAcentral describes it as "partial 16S ribosomal RNA". It matches the Rfam family "Bacterial small subunit ribosomal RNA", at positions 568 to 774 of the family's 1533-position model. The record is from RNAcentral.
CACGUAGGCGGCUUUUUAAGUCAGGGGUGAAAUCCUGGAGCUCAACUCCAGAACUGCCUUUGAUACUGAGAAGCUUGAGUCCGGGAGAGGUGAGUGGAACUGCGAGUGUAGAGGUGAAAUUCGUAGAUAUUCGCAAGGACACCAGUGGCGAAGGCGGCUCACUGGCCCGGUACUGACGCUGAGGUGCGAAAGCGUGGGGAGCAAACA